UUUCGCAAUGCCCGAAAGGGUGACGAAGCGACGCCGCGUGGGCGAGGAAGGCCUUCGGGUUGUAAAGCCCUGUCAGGAGUUAUGAAAUGUAAGUGCGCUAAUAUCGUGCUUAUUUGACAAAGGCUCCAAAGGAAGCCACGGCUAACUCUGUGCCAGCAGCCGCGGUAAUACAGAGGUGGCGAGCGUUGUUCGGAAUUAUUGGGCGUAAAGAGCACGUAGGUGGGUUUGCAAGUCAGAUGUGAAAGCCUUCUGUUCAACGGAAGAAUUGCAUCUGAAACUGCUAAUCUUGAGUAUAGGAGGGGAGAAUGGAACUUCUGGUGGAGCGGUGAAAUGCGUAGAUAUCAGAAGGAACGCCGGCGGCGAAAGCGAUUCUCUGGCCUAUUACUGACACUCAGUGUGCGAAAGCUAGGGGAGCAAACGGGAUUAGAUACCCCGGUAGUCCUAGCCGUAAACGAUGGGCACUAAGUAGAGGGGUUUU
Molecule: ribosomal RNA, 478 nt
Filed under: uncultured anaerobic ammonium-oxidizing bacterium
Lineage: Bacteria
Description: bacterial SSU rRNA
Rfam family: Bacterial small subunit ribosomal RNA
Source: RNAcentral